This 468-nucleotide ribosomal RNA is filed under the name uncultured bacterium. RNAcentral describes it as "partial 16S ribosomal RNA". It matches the Rfam family "Bacterial small subunit ribosomal RNA", at positions 28 to 507 of the family's 1533-position model. The record is from RNAcentral.
GACGAACGCUGGCGGCGUGCUUAACACAUGCAAGUCGAACGGAAAGGCCCUGCUUUUGUGGGGUGCUCGAGUGGCGAACGGGUGAGUAACACGUGAGUAACCUGCCCUUGACUUUGGGAUAACUUCAGGAAACUGGGGCUAAUACCGGAUAGGAGCUCCUGCUGCAUGGUGGGGGUUGGAAAGUUUCGGCGGUUGGGGAUGGACUCGCGGCUUAUCAGCUUGUUGGUGGGGUAGUGGCUUACCAAGGCUUUGACGGGUAGCCGGCCUGAGAGGGUGACCGGCCACAUUGGGACUGAGAUACGGCCCAGACUCCUACGGGAGGCAGCAGUGGGGAAUAUUGCACAAUGGGCGGAAGCCUGAUGCAGCAACGCCGCGUGCGGGGUGACGGCCUUCGGGUUGUAAACCGCUUUCGCCUGUGACGAAGGGUGAGUGACGGUAAUGGGUAAAGAAGCACCGGCUAACUACGUG